Molecule: unclassified non-coding RNA, 1119 nt
Filed under: Hevea brasiliensis (rubber tree)
Lineage: Eukaryota; Viridiplantae; Streptophyta; Magnoliopsida; Malpighiales; Euphorbiaceae
Source: RNAcentral
CAAGCAUCUCCCUUGUCAGCAAAGCUACCUUUGGCCGGCGAUUUGGAGACUCAAACCCGGGGAUUUCUCCUUCACCCAUCAAGCGCUUGAUAAAAUACCUUUCUACCAUACCUUUCUUGGAACAAUCUUAUCCACACCCAUUUCACCAAUAGAGGUCCGGUAGGCGCACCUUCUCUUUAUCUUCACAUGCUGCUCCAAGGUGCUUGUCUUGACAAGCACACUUCUCCUUGUGUUCUAACUGCUUCUGGCCUGUGCAGCAACCUUUGCCUUGGCAAAUGGGUCCAUUGCAAGGCUCUUAAGCUUGGCUUCUCGUCUGAUCAAUAUGUUAUCACUGCUUUACUUGAAAUGUAUGGGCAUCUUGACAGCACUGACGCUGCAAAUUGGCUUUUUGACAAAUCUCCUAGCAAGAAUUCAGUUUCUUGGAUCAUGUUAGCUAGGUUUUACUUGUCACAAAACAAGCCGGGUGUGGCUUUUGAUUUGUUUUAUCAAAUAAUGGACUUCAUUGCUAAUCAAGUUGAUCUAGUAGCUUUAGCAACAGCUGUUGACUGUUGUGUUAAAUUGAAUCCGUGCAGUAAGAAAUGUGGAUUAGAGUUUGAUAUUUGGUGGCCGAUUCUCUUUUGAAAAAUGUAUAUUGAUUUAAAUAUGCUCGGGCAACUUUUGAUAGAAUGCCACCCAAAAAUAUUAUUAUUUCAUGGACGGAAUUAUAAAUGGUAUGUGAAGAACGGAGGAUUUAAUGAAGCCCUCAAAUUGUUUCGGUGGAUGAAUACUGUUGGAAUAAAACCAGACCCAUCCCAAUUCGCAGUGUUCUCUCUGCUUGUGCAAGAUUGGCAGCUCAUAAACUUGGGAAGGAGAUCCACGCUUACUUGCUGAGAAACAGUAUUGAGCUCAAUCUUAUGGUCCAAAAUGCUGCUACGGACAUGUAUUUUAAAUGAGGAACAGGAUUCAUAUAGUAUUUGUUGGAAUCCCAUGUCGAAAUAAUAUAAAAUAAAAGAGCAAUAUAUAAGUAGUUGAAUUGCAAUAUUAAAAUUGAUUAGUUAUUUUGAUGUGUAAAUAUUAAAAUUGAUUAGUGAUUUUUAUGUGUAAAGUAAUUCAGUCACUUAUAUAAGUCCAAAUUAAAAU